UGAUUCUGCAAUUCUUCUGCCCUUGC
RNAcentral lists this non-coding RNA (26 nucleotides) under Callithrix jacchus (white-tufted-ear marmoset). The record is from RNAcentral. RNAcentral also lists the same sequence under 3 other names. Lineage: Eukaryota; Metazoa; Chordata; Mammalia; Primates; Cebidae.